GACGAACGCUGGCGGCGUGCUUAACACAUGCAAGUCGAACGGAAAGGCCCUGCGUUUGUGGGGUGCCCGAGUGGCGAACGGGUGAGUAACACGUGUGUAACCUGCCCUUCACUUUGGGGUAAGUUAAGGAAACUGGGGCUAAUACCGGAUAGGAUCUCCUGUUGGGUGGUGGGGGGGGGAAAGUUUUGGCUGUAGGGGAUGAACGCGCGGCUUAUGAGCUUGUUGGUGGGGGAGUGGCUUCCCAAGGCUGGGACGGGUCCCCGGCAGGAGAGGGGGAACGGCCACACUGGGACUGAGAUACGGACCAGACGCCUACGGGAGGCAGCAGUGGGGAAUAUGGCACAAUGGGCGGAAGCCUGAGGCAGCGACGCCGCGUGCGGGAUGACGGCCUUCGGGUUGUAAACCGCAUUCGCCUGUGACGAAGCGUGACUGACGGUAAUGGGUGAAGAAGCACCGGCUAACUACGUG
Molecule: ribosomal RNA, 468 nt
Filed under: uncultured bacterium
Lineage: Bacteria
Description: partial 16S ribosomal RNA
Rfam family: Bacterial small subunit ribosomal RNA
Source: RNAcentral